CGCCCAAUCCCCCCGCCCGCACCACUCCCUCCCUGCCCCACGCCCAAUCCCCUCGCCCGCACCGCUCCCUCCCUCCUCGAUCUCUCUCCCUGGCCAGCCGCCAUUGGUGGGAAACCCUAGCCCAUUAUCCCAAUCAACACAGUCGCAGCUCUUCUCCCUCUUUCUCCCUUCUCCCCCCUCCUCCCCUCACCACAGCCGCAACCUAGGGGCUCCGCCGUCCGUUUCGAUGAGAUCCACCAACUCACGAGGUUCUCAUCUGCCCCAGGUUGCGAGGAAGCCGCGGGAGGAGGAGUGACCUUGGUGCGAGAUAGGUACGGAGGAGGAGCUCAACCAGCGCGUCUUCGGCCGGAGGAGGGAAGCAGCGGAUGCGAGCCAGGAGGUGGAUCGGCUCGGCCCAGCUAUGGAGGCGGCCGGGGCGGGCGCGGAGAGGGCCGAUGCGGCGGCGGCCAAGGCCAGGGAGGACGAGGUUGCAUCCAUCAGCGAGAAGCGGCCGAUCCACCUGCGUGCCGUCACUGCAGGGAUAGCGUCGCCGUCUCCCUCUCCCCUGGUGGCACCUCCCUAUAUGUUGAGGUUGGUCCUGGAAUGGUUGGCUUUGAGACUUUUGGUGGCAGUAUAUUCUUAUGCCGACGAGAAGCAUUUGCAGGACGAUUAUGUGGUUAUCUGUGGCAGUGUGCUCCUAUCCUCCCCGCCUCCAUACUUCAUUUUUGGAAAACUAAUGAUUUUAAUUCCUGGAUGUCAUAGAUGUUGAGGUUGGUCCUGGAAUGGUUGGCUUUGGGACUUUUGGUGGCAGUAUAUUCUUAUGCCGACGACAAGCAUUUGUAGGACGAUUAUGUGGUUAUCUGUGGCAGUGUGCUCCUAUCCUCCCCGCCUCCAUACUUCAUUUUUGGAAAACUAAUGAUUUUAAUUCCUGGAUGUCAUAGGUACCAUUGAUUGUGCCUCAGCUUCGUAGCCGAUCUUCGAUCGUCCAUGGCAUCAACACACAAAUUGAUAAUGCAAACCUCAGCCACAGCUCCAAGAAUACGCGGAGGAGGUGGCCCGGGUCGGCGUCGGCGCCGUCCGGCACGGGCCACGGGCCCGCUUCCAAGCGCGUCUGCGCGUCGGCCACCCACGUCGUGUCCUUCAAGUGCCACUUCCACCGCAAACUCCCAGGGUCACGGCCAUGGCCAGGGCCAGGGAAGCCGCCCUUCUUCGCCUCCUUCACCAGCCGCAGCCAACGCGGUGCCGCGGCACCCGGCCUCGCCGUCCUCGUCCUCCAGCACCGUCGCGACCCAGUGACGCAGCCCAAGCAUCGGCCUCGAGAAUCAAGAACGCUCGACAACGUAGAGGGAAGGAAAGGUCAUAUACAUGUCAUAAGAAAGGGAGUUUAUUUACCGCUCCCUCGAUGUAUUGUUUCCUUUGUUUGGAGAUUGAUUACCAUCCGUGAGUUAAGGUAAGGUUUACGUGAUUGAGCGAUUUUUUGAAAAUGAAUUAUUUGUUUUCUAAUUAAUGUAAUUGAGUGAAUUAAGGUAAGGUUAAUUAAUUUAGAUUUGAUCUUUAGAGAUUGUUCGUGAUUGAUUCUACAUUACUAAAUAACUUGCGCCAGUAUGGAAAGUUCUGAUCUGUUUAGAUUUCUUUCGUUGUGUGAGAGGGUGACGUGAAAAUAAACCGAUGAAGUGAGGGAAGGGGACGAAAAAAUCUACGGAAAAAACCAGCGAAGGUGGGAGGAGGUACCAAAAAAAACCAUGAAAGGUGGGAGGAGACUACCAACUGUUUCAUUAGGAGUAGAAAUUAUUAGAGAUUAGAGAUUAUUUGUUUCCUGAAAAUCUAUUAUUUGUUUCCUAAAAUAAAUUGCAUUAAUGAGAGAGAUUUCGUAGAUUUGGCUAAGGUAGGAAAGAAUCUAUUAUUUGUUUGCU
Molecule: RNA transcript, 1892 nt
Organism: Triticum dicoccoides
Lineage: Eukaryota; Viridiplantae; Streptophyta; Magnoliopsida; Poales; Poaceae
Exons: 4
Source: RefSeq, a predicted model, not a curated record